GGGGCCUCCGAAGGUGGGAGGGAAUUUCGAGAGUUUCAGGCAACACGCAGCCCCUCCACCACUGCAUCAGACGAGAGGCCCAUUUUCCAACACGCCCAAGAAAAAAUAUACAUAAAGGUUGAUGUGUUUUCAAAUGGGUUUUUGCUUUGCUCUUCUCUUUUCUCCCUGUGAGUAUUAACCUUGGGGACCCUGGGGACGGCUCGGCUUGCCAGAGCA
This 216-nucleotide long non-coding RNA is filed under the name Homo sapiens (human). RNAcentral's name for it is "non-protein coding lnc-HMCN2-1:1". Lineage: Eukaryota; Metazoa; Chordata; Mammalia; Primates; Hominidae. The record is from RNAcentral.